AGAGUUUGAUCCUGGCUCAGGAUAAACGCUGGCGGCGUGCCUAAUACAUGCAAGUCGGACGAGGGGUUCUUGUAGCAAUACGAGGACUUCCUAGUGGCGAAUGGUGAGUAACGCGUUGGUGACCUGCCCCAAAGAGAGGAAUAACUCCGGGAAACUGGAGCUAAUACCUCAUGUGGUUGCGAGAUUUAGAACCUCGCAACUAAAGGAGUAAUCCACUUUGGGAGGGGCCUGCGUCCCAUCAGCUAGUUGGUAGGGUAAUGGCCUACCAAGGCUUCGACGGGUAGGGGGCCUGAGAGGGUGGCCCCCCACACUGGCACUGAAACACGGGCCAGACACCUACGGGUGGCAGCAGUAGGGAAUAUUGCACAAUGGGCGAAAGCCUGAUGCAGCAACGCCGCGUGCGCGAUGAAGACCUUCGGGUUGUAAAGCGCUUUUCUGAAGGAAGAGGAAGGACUGUACUUCAGGAAUAAGGAUUGGCUAACUACGUGCCAGCAGCCGCGGUAAUACGUAGGAUCCGAGCGUUAUCCGAAUUUACUGGGCGUAAAGCGCGUGCAGGCGGUCUGAUAAGUUGGAUGUGAAAGCUCCCGGCUCAACUGGGAGAGGCCGUUCAAAACUAUCAGACUAGAGGGCGGUAGAGGGAGGUGGAAUUCCCGGUGUAGUAGUGAAAUGCGUAGAUAUCGGGAGGAACACCAGUGGCGAAAGCGGCCUCCUGGACCGUUCCUGACGCUCAGACGCGAAAGCUAGGGGAGCAAACGGGAUUAGAAACCCCGGUAGUCCUAGCAGUAAACGAUGCGAACUUGGUGUCGGUGGGGUAAAAUCCGCCGGUGCCGGAGCUAACGCGUUAAGUUCGCCGCCUGGGGACUACGGCCGCAAGGUUAAAACUCAAAGGAAUUGACGGGGCCCCGCACAAGCAGCGGAGCGUGUGGUUUAAUUCGUUCUACGCGAAGAACCUUACCCAGGUUUGACAUAUAGGUAGUAGGGAUUCGAAAGAUGACCGACCCUUCGGGGAGCCUAUACAGGUGCUGCAUGGCUGUCGUCAGCUCGUGCCGUGAGGUGUCCGGUUAAGUCCGGUAACGAGCGCAACCCCCGCUGUGUGUUACAAGUGUCACACGGAACUGCCGGUAUCAAGCCGGAGGAAGGUGGGGAUGACGUCAAGUCAGCAUGGCCUUUAUAUCUGGGGCUACACACACGCUACAAUGGUCGGUACAAUGGGUCGCAAAGCCGCGAGGUGGAGCCAAUCCUCAAAACCGGCCUCAGUUCAGAUUGCAGGCUGC
RNAcentral lists this ribosomal RNA (1274 nucleotides) under metagenome. RNAcentral describes it as "bacterial SSU rRNA". It matches the Rfam family "Bacterial small subunit ribosomal RNA", at positions 8 to 1308 of the family's 1533-position model. The record is from RNAcentral.